Molecule: non-coding RNA, 631 nt
Organism: Bactrocera oleae (olive fruit fly)
Lineage: Eukaryota; Metazoa; Arthropoda; Insecta; Diptera; Tephritidae
Source: RefSeq, a predicted model, not a curated record
ACACCAGACUUCGUGCACGCACAUAAAUAAAGAAAUAAAUACAAGCAGCGCGAGGGCAAAACGAAAAAUUAAAUAACGCAACAAAAAAUCGAGAAUCGACCGUCGCAAAUAAUUAGUAACUAGUGCUAGUGCGCUUUGGAAAACUGCCGCUCGCAAACUGAAAAGCAGCGCUAAAACUAGCGAAAGCGUCUUGCAAGAGGUCGUCGGCAUAGCAAUCUACAUAAUCACUUACACAUGCAUACAUAUUCACAAAGGAGGAACAACCCUCGCUAAAACCGCGACAUGUCGUGUAGCCGCCGGCCGGCAUCUCGUGACCACACAGUCUCAGUCAUUCAGCUGUUGGAUGGCUUUCAGCUGUUCGUGACACUGAAAUAUUAUUGUUGUUGCUUCCCUACUGUAGGGAGAGUGAGUGCAUCGCACUAUAACGAACAAAUGCUACGGUACUCACAUUAUUAAAUCUUUCCUGUAAGUGGGAAAGCGCUUCUUCUAGUUCGACAAUCCGAUUUUCCAGUACCUCCUGCGAAGAGAGCAGAAAAGAGAGAGAAAGAGAGUGCCAGAGAUAGCAAAACAAUAAACGAUGAGUUUUAAUGAAAUUUUGUUACACAAAUAUUAAUGUUUACUUUUUAGGUUA